UUUUUAUGGACUUUUACUUUUAAUUAAUUCACUUAACAUAGAUAAAGUGCUCUACUAAGAUAAUGUG
RNAcentral lists this transfer RNA (67 nucleotides) under Gagea gageoides. Its description in RNAcentral is "tRNA-Phe". RNAcentral also lists the same sequence under 2 other names. Lineage: Eukaryota; Viridiplantae; Streptophyta; Magnoliopsida; Liliales; Liliaceae. The record is from RNAcentral.